This 253-nucleotide ribosomal RNA is filed under the name uncultured bacterium. RNAcentral describes it as "partial 16S ribosomal RNA". It matches the Rfam family "Bacterial small subunit ribosomal RNA", at positions 524 to 776 of the family's 1533-position model. The record is from RNAcentral.
UACAGAGGUCUUAACCGUUGUUCGGAUUCAUUGGGCGUAAAGGGUGCGUAGGCGGUCGCGCAAGUCGGAUGUGAAAUCUCAGGGCUCAACCCUGAAACUGCAUUCGAUACUGCGUGGCUAGAGUGCUGGAGAGGAGACUGGAAUUUACGGUGUAGCAGUGAAAUGCGUAGAUAUCGUAAGGAAGACCAGUGGCGAAGGCGAGUCUCUGGACAGUUACUGACGCUGAGGCACGAAGGCCAGGGGAGCAAACGGG